CAGAAGUGAAAGGUAAUUUGUUUCUUGAUGUCCACUGUUAUGUGAGUGGACCGAAUCCCCUACAAGAGCUAGCUGCCGAGUUCAGAUACCAUAUAUUCUCCAAGGAAUUGCCAUUGGUACUUGAGGCUGUGCUCUAUGGGGAUUCAGAUUUCUUCAAGGAGCAUGAAGAACUAAUGAAUGCUACUGUUAGAGUCUAUUUUCAUUCUAGCUCGAAGAAGUACAACCGUGUAGAAUGUUG
RNAcentral lists this unclassified non-coding RNA (238 nucleotides) under Hevea brasiliensis (rubber tree). The record is from RNAcentral. Lineage: Eukaryota; Viridiplantae; Streptophyta; Magnoliopsida; Malpighiales; Euphorbiaceae.